GCAGCAGGCGCGAAAACUUUACAAUGCGGGAAACCGUGAUAAGGGGACACCGAGUGUCAGCAUCAUAUGCUGGCUGUCCGGAUGUGUAAAAUACAUCCGUUAGCAAGGGCCGGGCAAGACCGGUGCCAGCCGCCGCGGUAACACCGGCGGCCCGAGUGGUGAUCGUGAUUAUUGGGUCUAAAGGGUCCGUAGCCGGUUUGGUCAGUCCUCCGGGAAAUCUGAUAGCUCAACUAUUAGGCUUUCGGGGGAUACUGCCAGACUUGGAACCGGGAGAGGUAAGAGGUACUACAGGGGUAGGAGUGAAAUCUUGUAAUCCCUGUGGGACCACCUGUGGCGAAGGCGUCUUACCAGAACGGGUUCGACGGUGAGGGACGAAAGCUGGGGGCACGAACCGGAUUAGAUACCCGGGUAGUCCCAGCCGUAAACGAUGCUCGCUAGGUGUCAGGCAUGGCGCGACCGUGUCUGGUGCCGCAGGGAAGCCGUGAAGCGAGCCACCUGGGAAGUACGGCCGCAAGGCUGAAACUUAAAGGAAUUGGCGGGGGAGCACAACAACGGGUGGAGCCUGCGGUUUAAUUGGACUCAACGCCGGAAA
RNAcentral lists this ribosomal RNA (592 nucleotides) under uncultured methanogenic archaeon. RNAcentral's name for it is "bacterial SSU rRNA". It matches the Rfam family "Archaeal small subunit ribosomal RNA", at positions 332 to 924 of the family's 1478-position model. The record is from RNAcentral. Lineage: Archaea; Methanobacteriati; Methanobacteriota.